GACGAACGCUGGCGGCGUGCUUAACACAUGCAAGUCGAACGGAAAGGCCCUGCUUUUGUGGGGUGCUCGAGUGGCGAACGGGUGAGUAACACGUGAGUAACCUGCCCUUGACUUUGGGAUAACUUCAGGAAACUGGGGCUAAUACCGGAUAGGAGCUCCUGCUGCAUGGUGGGGGUUGGAAAGUUUCGGCGGUUGGGGAUGGACUCGCGGCUUAUCAGCUUGUUGGUGGGGUAGUGGCUUACCAAGGCUUUGACGGGUAGCCGGCCUGAGAGGGUGACCGGCCACAUUGGGACUGAGAUACGGCCCAGACUCCAACGGGAGGCAGCAGUGGGGAAUAUUGCACAAUGGGCGGAAGCCUGAUGCAGCAACGCGGCGUGCGGGAUGAAGGCCUACGGGUUGUAAACCGCUUUCGCAUGUGACGAAGCGUGAGUGACGGUAAUGGGUAAAGAAGCACCGGCUAACUACGUG
This 468-nucleotide ribosomal RNA is filed under the name uncultured bacterium. RNAcentral describes it as "partial 16S ribosomal RNA". It matches the Rfam family "Bacterial small subunit ribosomal RNA", at positions 28 to 507 of the family's 1533-position model. The record is from RNAcentral.